RNAcentral lists this long non-coding RNA (442 nucleotides) under Physcomitrium patens. RNAcentral describes it as "long non-coding RNA (PPAT_LNC005564)". The record is from RNAcentral. Lineage: Eukaryota; Viridiplantae; Streptophyta; Bryopsida; Funariales; Funariaceae.
GAUUGAUUCAGUUAUUAAAAGUGGUUAUUAUAGGAUUACGGUUAGAAUGUAGAAAUUAGUAGCAAUUAUAUAAGAGUUAUAGAAGUUUGUUGGAGGGCCAGACUGUGAUAGUCAUGAGCAGGGAUUAAGCUUGGUGCUUCUUCUUUGUUUCUUUUAUUUUCUUUGUUAUUGAAGAAUAAUGGAUAGUUUUUGAAUAGUGAGAAGUGAGUCUGUGGAAUAAAUCAGAGAUUGAUUUAUGAGUUAUUGAUUAUGUAAUUAGAGUACUGAGUGAUUGAAUUAUAUGAGAAAUUAUUGGAAGAUUGAUUAUGGAUGGAAGAUUAUAAUUGUUAUUUAUUGAGAGUUGUGUAUGUAUUUCGAUAGAGGAAGUCUGAGAUUACAGGAAUUCUAUGAAUUUAGAUUGGUUGGAGUGAACUUUGUAAUUCCUAGUGUUAGAUAGAAUUUA